Molecule: non-coding RNA, 72 nt
Organism: Phrynosoma platyrhinos (Desert horned lizard)
Lineage: Eukaryota; Metazoa; Chordata; Lepidosauria; Squamata; Phrynosomatidae
Source: the annotation of a GenBank genome assembly
GCCAGCGUGGCGUAGUGGUUUCAGUGUUGGACUAUGGCUCAGAAGACCAGGAUUCGAUUCACUGCUUGGACA